RNAcentral lists this ribosomal RNA (497 nucleotides) under uncultured bacterium. RNAcentral's name for it is "partial 16S ribosomal RNA". It matches the Rfam family "Bacterial small subunit ribosomal RNA", at positions 28 to 507 of the family's 1533-position model. The record is from RNAcentral.
GAUGAACGCUGGCGGCGUGCCUAAUACAUGCAAGUCGAGCGAACAGACGAGGAGCUUGCUCCUCUGACGUUAGCGGCGGACGGGUGAGUAACACGUGGAUAACCUACCUAUAAGACUGGGAUAACUUCGGGAAACCGGAGCUAAUACCGGAUAAUAUAUUGAACCGCAUGGUUCAAUAGUGAAAGACGGUUUUGCUGUCACUUCUAGAUGGAUCCGCGCCGCAUUAGCUAGUUGGUAAGGUAACGGCUUACCAAGGCAACGAUGCGUAGCCGACCUGAGAGGGUGAUCGGCCACACCGGAACUGAGACACGGACCAGACUCCUACGGGAGGCAGCAGUAGGGAAUCUUCCGCAAUGGGCGAAAGCCUGACGGAGCAACGCCGCGUGAGUGAUGAAGGUCUUCGGAUCGUAAAACUCCGUUAUUAGGGAAGAACAAAUGUGUAAGUAACUAUGCACGUCUUGACGGUACCUAAUCAGAAAGCCACGGCUAACUACGUG